GGUCAUGCGUUCUAUUAGUUAGUUGGUAAGGUAACGGCUUACCAAGACAUCGAUAGAUAGGGGCCCUGAGAGGGGGAUCCCCCACACUGGUACUGAGACACGGACCAGACUCCUACGGGAGGCAGCAGUGAGGAAUAUUGGACAAUGGAGGCAACUCUGAUCCAGCCAUGCCGCGUGAAGGAAGACUGCCCUAUGGGUUGUAAACUUCUUUUAUAGAGGAAGAAACACAGAUACGUGUAUUUGUUUGACGGUACUCUACGAAUAAGGAUCGGCUAACUCCGUGCCAGCAGCCGCGGUAAUACGGAGGAUCCAAGCGUUAUCCGGAAUCAUUGGGUUUAAAGGGUCCGCAGGCUGUUGUUUAAGUCAGAGGUGAAAGUUUGCAGCUCAACUGUAAAAUUGCCUUUGAUACUGGAUAACUUGAGUAAUAAUGAAGUGGUUAGAAUAUGUAGUGUAGCGGUGAAAUGCAUAGAUAUUACAUAGAAUACCGAUUGCGAAGGCAGAUCACUAAUUAUAUACUGACGCUGAGGGACGAAAGCGUGGGGAGCGAACAGGAUUAGAUACCCUGGUAGUCCACGCCGUAAACGAUGGUUACUAGCUGUUUGGACUUCNGUCUGAGUGGCUAAGCGAAAGUGAUAAGUAACCCACCUGGGGAGUACGAUCGCAAGAUUGAACUCAAAGAAUUGACGGGGGCCCGCACAAGC
Molecule: ribosomal RNA, 701 nt
Filed under: Bacteroidetes bacterium N03AW1
Lineage: Bacteria; Pseudomonadati; Bacteroidota
Description: bacterial SSU rRNA
Rfam family: Bacterial small subunit ribosomal RNA
Source: RNAcentral